GGGUUUCGGGGAAGCCUCCGGCGCUUCGGUUUGCGGUGCCUGAUGGAAUUGUUGAGUUCAAUGAUCAGUUUCGGGGGCCGCAGCGAUUUAAUGUAGCAAAGGAGCUGGGUGAUUUUGUCAUCGCCAAGGCCGAUAGGACACCU
Molecule: unclassified non-coding RNA, 143 nt
Filed under: uncultured fungus
Lineage: Eukaryota; Fungi
Description: sequence contains ITS1
Source: RNAcentral